This 504-nucleotide ribosomal RNA is filed under the name uncultured bacterium. RNAcentral describes it as "partial 16S ribosomal RNA". It matches the Rfam family "Bacterial small subunit ribosomal RNA", at positions 28 to 506 of the family's 1533-position model. The record is from RNAcentral.
GACGAACGCUGGCGGCGUGCCUAAUACAUGCAAGUAGAACGCACAGUUUAUACCGUAGCUUGCUCCACCAUAGACUGUGAGUUGCGAACGGGUGAGUAACGCGUAGGUAACCUGCCUGGUAGCGGGGGAUAACUAUUGGAAACGAUAGCUAAUACCGCAUAAUAUUAAUUAUUGCAUGAUAAUUAAUUGAAAGGUGCAAUUGCACCACUACCAGAUGGACCUGCGUUGUAUUAGCUAGUAGGUGAGGUAACGGCUCACCUAGGCGACGAUACAUAGCCGACCUGAGAGGGUGAUCGGCCACACUGGGACUGAGACACGGCCCAGACUCCUACGGGAGGCAGCAGUAGGGAAUCUUCGGCAAUGGACGAAAGUCUGACCGAGCAACGCCGCGUGAGUGAAGAAGGUUUUCGGAUCGUAAAGCUCUGUUGUAAGAGAAGAACGGGUGUGAGAGUGGAAAGUUCACACUGUGACGGUAUCUUACCAGAAAGGGACGGCGAACUACGU